RNAcentral lists this long non-coding RNA (1055 nucleotides) under Gossypium barbadense (sea-island cotton). RNAcentral describes it as "long non-coding RNA (GBAR_LNC017570)". Lineage: Eukaryota; Viridiplantae; Streptophyta; Magnoliopsida; Malvales; Malvaceae. The record is from RNAcentral.
CAACUCAUGAUGUUCACAUAGUAGUCAUCCAUAAGCCCCGGUGCAUCGAAAACUAUCAUUUCUGCCUGCACCACACACCGGAUCGAACAACGAAUGGAAUAAGCUCAGUCCUAUCAUUUCCUAUGUCAUCGAUACUCAAAGGUUCGUUUCAAAUACAGAUGUGUUCCAUACGGGUGCCUUUUUUCCCCAUUAAUUGGUGGAUCAAACUUCAUAUACAUAUUUGCACACACGAGUUCUAAAGAGCCUAAGCAACAUAGAUCAUUUCAUGAAAGGAUCAUCUUUUCAAGAAAACCAACCAAAUCAUCAACUUUUAUAAAUCCCAACAUUGGAGCUUACUCCAUUCUACUAUAGGGAAACAAACAAAAUGAUAAAAAUGUCACAGUUGAUAAUUUUGGAGUCAAAUUUUUUGAACUUUCACUAUUUUUUGUAAAAACUUAUUUAAAAACUACUCCAUUGAAAGUCUUUAUAAUAUGUUUUUUCAAUUUUUUUUAUCUAUAAUAAAUUUUAAAGAAUAAGAUGUCAAAAGUUGAAAAUUUUGAACCACUAAAAGUUAAAAUGUGACGAGUUUACUGAGAGAGAGAGAGAGAGUUACUCCUAAAGUUAAAAGAUAGCCCGUAGAUCGAAGAAAAUAUGAACUUGAUUGUUUAAGUUUUUCUAGGUAUUCAGGAUGAUACUCCUUAUACGUGUCAGACGUGCUACACAUAGAAGCUCUAGGAAAAAUGAAGAGUUCGGGAAAAAAAUAAGGGAUUUUGUGCUACAUAUAGAAGCUCUAGGAAAAACCUUGGGGAUGGACCGAUAUGCAGCCUGUUUGCUCUUGUUAUCCGAUAUGGCAGCCAUUUGUUGUCUCAACUCAUCAACGAAACGAAUGGAUUUUGUGCUUGAUUUUGAGCUUCCUCUGAAAACCAUAAUCCUUUUCCCUUCAGAAUUUAAAGACUGACUCUCAAUCAGUUUCUGUUGAUACACUUCCUGCCAUCAAUGAAGAGAAAACUAAAAAAAACCAUAAGUUUUCAUCUCCAGAUUUUUGCCAUUUCUAAAUCAAUAAAUUUCAUUUUCAG